CCAGACUCCUACGGGAGGCAGCAGUCGGGAAUAUUGCGCAAUGGAGGAAACUCUGACGCAGUGACGCCGCGUGCAGGAAGAAGGUUUUCGGAUUGUAAACUGCUUUAGAUAGGGAAGAAAAAAAUGACAGUACCUAUAGAAUAAGCUCCGGCUAACUACGUGCCAGCAGCCGCGGUAAUACGUAGGGAGCGAGCGUUAUCCGGAUUUAUUGGGUGUAAAGGGUGCGUAGAUGGAUAAACAAGUUGGUUGUGAAAUCCCUCGGCUUAACUGAGGAAUUGCAACCAAAACUGUAGAUCUUGAGUACUGGAGGGGAAAGCGGAAUUCCUAGUGUAGCGGUGAAAUGCGUAGAUAUUAGGAAGAACACCGGUGGCGAAGGCGGCUUUCUGGACAGAAACUGACAUUGAGGCACGAAAGUGUGGGGAGCAAGCAGGAUUAGAUACCCGAGUAUU
Molecule: ribosomal RNA, 449 nt
Filed under: uncultured bacterium
Lineage: Bacteria
Description: bacterial SSU rRNA
Rfam family: Bacterial small subunit ribosomal RNA
Source: RNAcentral